UACGUAGGGCGCAAGCGUUAUCCGGAAUUAUUGGGCGUAAAGAGCUCGUAGGCGGUUUGUCGCGUCUGCCGUGAAAGUCCGGGGCUCAACUCCGGAUCUGCGGUGGGUACGGGCAGACUAGAGUGAUGUAGGGGAGACUGGAAUUCCUGGUGUAGCGGUGAAAUGCGCAGAUAUCAGGAGGAACACCGGUGGCGAAGGCGGGUCUCUGGGCAGUAACUGACGCUGAGGAGCGAAAGUGUGGGGAGCGAACAGG
RNAcentral lists this ribosomal RNA (253 nucleotides) under uncultured bacterium. RNAcentral's name for it is "partial 16S ribosomal RNA". It matches the Rfam family "Bacterial small subunit ribosomal RNA", at positions 524 to 776 of the family's 1533-position model. The record is from RNAcentral.